CGAAAUAAAAUGGAGUGGAACAAUGUUCUUGUCACUUGGGUGAACUGUCUAUGCGAUGAACUUCUCAAUAUAAACAAAAUUACCAAAAUCCAAGAGCUCAAUUGCGAAUCCCAGUUUUUCAAAGACGUUAUCACUAUAAUAAGG
Long non-coding RNA from Nilaparvata lugens (brown planthopper), 144 nucleotides. RefSeq lists it as uncharacterized. The transcript has 2 exons. The record is from RefSeq and is a predicted model, not a curated record. Lineage: Eukaryota; Metazoa; Arthropoda; Insecta; Hemiptera; Delphacidae.